This 497-nucleotide ribosomal RNA is filed under the name uncultured bacterium. RNAcentral describes it as "partial 16S ribosomal RNA". It matches the Rfam family "Bacterial small subunit ribosomal RNA", at positions 28 to 507 of the family's 1533-position model. The record is from RNAcentral.
GAUGAACGCUGGCGGCGUGCCUAAUACAUGCAAGUCGAGCGAACGGACGAGAAGCUUGCUUCUCUGAUGUUAGCGGCGGACGGGUGAGUAACACGUGGAUAACCUACCUAUAAGACUGGGAUAACUGCGGGAAACCGGAGCUAAUACCGGAUGAUAUUUUGAACCGCAUGGUUCAUAAGUGAAAGACGGUCUUGCUGUUACUUAUAGAUGGAUCCGCGCUGCAUUAGCUAGUUGGUAAGGUAACGGCUUACCAAGGCAACGAUGCAUAGCCGACAUGAGAGGGAGGACGGCCACCCGGGAACUGAGACACGGCCGCGGCUCCUACGGGGAGAAACAGUAGAGAAUCUUACGCAAUGGAGGAAAGCCUGACAGAGCAAAGCCGCGUAAGUGAUGAAGGUGUUCGGAUCGUAAGACGCUGUUGUUAGGGAAAAACAUAUGUGUAAGUAACUGUGCACAUCUUGACGGUACCUAAUAAGAAAGCCACGGCUAACUACGUG